GUUGUAUAGUCAAGUAAUUAAGUGCAUGUGGUGGAUGCCUUGGCAGUCAGAGGCGAUGAAAGACGUGAUAGCCUGCGAAAAGCUCCGGGGAGGCGGCAAAUAUCCUUUGAUCCGGAGAUGUCUGAAUGGGGGAACCCACCUACUUUAAGGUAGGUAUUGCAACAUGAAUACAUAGUGUUGCAAGGCGAACGAGGGGAAGUGAAACAUCUCAGUACCCUUAGGAAAAGAAAUCAAUUGAGAUUCCCUCAGUAGCGGCGAGCGAACGGGGAUCAGCCCAUUAAGUUAUGUGUGUUUUAGUGGAACGCUCUGGGAAGUGCGAACGUAGAGGGUGAUAUUCCCGUACACGAAAGGGCACACAUAAUGAUGACGAGUAGGGCGAGGCACGUGAAACCUUGUCUGAAUAUGGGGGGACCAUCCUCCAAGGCUAAAUACUCCUGACUGACCGAUAGUGAACCAGUACCGUGAGGGAAAGGCGAAAAGAACCCCUGUGAGGGGAGUGAAAUAGAUCCUGAAACCGCAUGCAUACAAGCAGUGGGAGCACCUUCGUGGUGUGACUGCGUACCUUUUGUAUAAUGGGUCAGCGACUUAUAUUCAGUAGCAAGGUUAACCGUAUAGGGGAGCCGUAGAGAAAUCGAGUCUUAAUAGGGCGUUUAGUUGCUGGGUAUAGACCCGAAACCAGGCGAUCUAUCCAUGAGCAGGUUGAAGGUUGGGUAACACUAACUGGAGGACCGAACCCACUGUCGUUGAAAAGCCAGGGGAUGACUUGUGGAUAGGGGUGAAAGGCUAAUCAAGCCUGGUGAUAGCUGGUUCUCCCCGAAAGCUAUUUAGGUAGCGCCUCGGACGAAUACCAUAGGGGGUAGAGCACUGUUUCGGCUAGGGGGUCAUCCCGACUUACCAAACCGAUGCAAACUCCGAAUACCUAUGAGUACUAUCCGGGAGACAGACUGCGGGUGCUAACGUCCGUAGUCAAGAGGAAAACAAUCCAGACCGCCAGCUAAGGCCCCAAAAUCAUAGUUAAGUGGGAAACGAUGUGGGAAGGCAUAGACAGCUAGGAGGUUGGCUUAGAAGCAGCCACCCUUUAAAGAAAGCGUAAUAGCUCACUAGUCGAGUCGGCCUGCGCGGAAGAUGUAACGGGGCUAAAACUAUGUGCCGAAGCUGCGGAUNNNNNNNNNNNNNNNNNNNNNNNNNNNNNNNNAUGCUGGAGGUAUCAGAAGUGCGAAUGCUGACGUGAGUAACGACAAAACGGGUGAAAAACCCGUUCGCCGAAAGACCAAGGGUUCCAGUCCAACGUUAAUCGGGGCUGGGUGAGUCGACCCCUAAGGCGAGGCCGAAAGGCGUAGUCGAUGGGAAAAUGGUUAAUAUUCCAUUACUUCUGUGUAAUGCGAUGAGAGGACGGAGAAGGCUAAAUCAGCCUGGCGUUGGUUGUCCAGGUGAAAGGAUGUAGGCAUGUAUCUUAGGCAAAUCCGGGGUACUCUAUGCUGAGAUCUGAUAGCAAGCUGUACUUGUACAGCGAAGUGGUUGAUGCCAUGCUUCCAGGAAAAGUCUCUAAGCUUCAGUUACACAGGAAUCGUACCCGAAACCGACACAGGUGGUCAGGUCGAGUAGACCAAGGCGCUUGAGAGAACUCUGCUGAAGGAACUAGGCAAAAUGGUACCGUAACUUCGGGAGAAGGUACGCUGUUGUUGGUGAUGGAACUCGCUUCCUGAGCUGACGACAGCCGCAGAAACCAGGCCGCUGCAACUGUUUAUUAAAAACAUAGCACUCUGCAAACACGAAAGUGGACGUAUAGGGUGUGAUGCCUGCCCGGUGCUGGAAGGUUAAUUGAUGGGGUUAGCGUAAGCGAAGCUCUUGAUCGAAGCCCCAGUAAACGGCGGCCGUAACUAUAACGGUCCUAAGGUAGCGAAAUUCCUUGUCGGGUAAGUUCCGACCUGCACGAAUGGCAUAAUGAUGGCGGCGCUGUCUCCAGCAGAGGCUCAGUGAAAUCGAAAUCGCUGUGAAGAUGCAGUGUACCCGCGGCUAGACGGAAAGACCCCGUGAACCUUUACUGCAGCUUGACACUGAACUUUGACCUUACUUGUGUAGGAUAGGUGGGAGGCUUUGAAGCUGGAACGCUAGUUCCAGUGGAGCCGUCCUUGAAAUACCACCCUGGUAAUGUUGAGGUUCUAACUCUGUCCCGUGAUCCGGGACGAGGACCGUGUCUGGUGGGUAGUUUGACUGGGGCGGUCUCCUCCUAAAGAGUAACGGAGGAGUACGAAGGUGCGCUCAGCGUGGUCGGAAAUCACGCGUAGAGUAUAAAGGCAAAAGCGCGCUUAACUGCGAGACCCACAAGUCGAGCAGGUACGAAAGUAGGUCUUAGUGAUCCGGUGGUUCUGUAUGGAAGGGCCAUCGCUCAACGGAUAAAAGGUACUCUGGGGAUAACAGGCUGAUACCGCCCAAGAGUUCAUAUCGACGGCGGUGUUUGGCACCUCGAUGUCGGCUCAUCUCAUCCUGGGGCUGAAGCAGGUCCCAAGGGUAUGGCUGUUCGCCAUUUAAAGAGGUACGCGAGCUGGGUUUAGAACGUCGUGAGACAGUUCGGUCCCUAUCUACCGUGGGCGCUGGAAAUUUGAGAGGAUCUGCUCCUAGUACGAGAGGACCAGAGUGGACGAACCUCUGGUGUACCGGUUGUGACGCCAGUCGCAUCGCCGGGUAGCUAUGUUCGGAAGGGAUAACCGCUGAAAGCAUCUAAGCGGGAAGCCUACCUCAAGAUAAGAUUUCCCUAGGACUUUAUGUCCUCUAAAGAGCCGUUCGAGACUAGGACGUUGAUAGGUUGGAUGUGGAAGCAUAGUGAUAUGUGAAGCUGACCAAUACUAAUUGCUCGUGAGGCUUGACUAUACAACACCCAAGCAGUUG
RNAcentral lists this ribosomal RNA (2889 nucleotides) under Acinetobacter baumannii. Its description in RNAcentral is "23S ribosomal RNA". It matches the Rfam family "Bacterial large subunit ribosomal RNA". Lineage: Bacteria; Pseudomonadati; Pseudomonadota; Gammaproteobacteria; Moraxellales; Moraxellaceae. The record is from RNAcentral.